RNAcentral lists this ribosomal RNA (632 nucleotides) under Trichoderma atroviride. RNAcentral describes it as "eukaryotic LSU rRNA". The stretch from base 240 to 393 matches the Rfam family "5.8S ribosomal RNA". Lineage: Eukaryota; Fungi; Ascomycota; Sordariomycetes; Hypocreales; Hypocreaceae. RNAcentral also lists the same sequence under 1 other name. The record is from RNAcentral.
GGAAGUAAAAGUCGUAACAAGGUCUCCGUUGGUGAACCAGCGGAGGGAUCAUUACCGAGUUUACAACUCCCAAACCCAAUGUGAACCAUACCAAACUGUUGCCUCGGCGGGGUCACGCCCCGGGUGCGUCGCAGCCCCGGAACCAGGCGCCCGCCGGAGGGACCAACCAAACUCUUUUCUGUAGUCCCCUCGCGGACGUUAUUUCUUACAGCUCUGAGCAAAAAUUCAAAAUGAAUCAAAACUUUCAACAACGGAUCUCUUGGUUCUGGCAUCGAUGAAGAACGCAGCGAAAUGCGAUAAGUAAUGUGAAUUGCAGAAUUCAGUGAAUCAUCGAAUCUUUGAACGCACAUUGCGCCCGCCAGUAUUCUGGCGGGCAUGCCUGUCCGAGCGUCAUUUCAACCCUCGAACCCCUCCGGGGGGUCGGCGUUGGGGACCUCGGGAGCCCCUAAGACGGGAUCCCGGCCCCGAAAUACAGUGGCGGUCUCGCCGCAGCCUCUCCUGCGCAGUAGUUUGCACAACUCGCACCGGGAGCGCGGCGCGUCCACGUCCGUAAAACACCCAACUUUCUGAAAUGUUGACCUCGGAUCAGGUAGGAAUACCCGCUGAACUUAAGCAUAUCAAUAAGCGGAGGA